UCGUACGGCCAAACCAGCAUGGCAAUACCCGAUCUCGUCCGAUCUCGGAAGCUAAGCAGGGUUGGGCCUGGUUAGUACUUGGAUGGGAGACCGCCUGGGAAUACCAGGUGCUGUAUGCU
Ribosomal RNA from Osmerus eperlanus (European smelt), 119 nucleotides. The record is from RefSeq and is a predicted model, not a curated record. NCBI's taxonomy places the organism in Eukaryota, Metazoa, Chordata, Actinopteri, Osmeriformes, Osmeridae.